RNAcentral lists this ribosomal RNA (430 nucleotides) under uncultured bacterium. Its description in RNAcentral is "bacterial SSU rRNA". It matches the Rfam family "Bacterial small subunit ribosomal RNA", at positions 29 to 501 of the family's 1533-position model. The record is from RNAcentral.
AGCGAACGCUGGCGGCAGGCUUAACACAUGCAAGUCGAGCGGGCGUAGCAAUACGUCAGCGGCAGACGGGUGAGUAACGCGUGGGAACAUACCUUUUGGUUCGGAACAACACAGGGAAACUUGUGCUAAUACCGGAUAAGCCCUUACGGGGAAAGAUUUAUCGCCGAAAGAUUGGCCCGCGUCUGAUUAGCUAGUUGGUGAGGUAAUGGCUCACCAAGGCGACGAUCAGUAGCUGGUCUGAGAGGAUGAUCAGCCACAUUGGGACUGAGACACGGCCCAAACUCCUACGGGAGGCAGCAGUGGGGAAUAUUGGACAAUGGGCGCAAGCCUGAUCCAGCCAUGCCGCGUGAGUGAUGAAGGCCUAGGGUUAGUAAAGCUCUUUUGUGCGGGAAGAUAAUGACGGUACCGCAAGAAUAACGCCCCGGCUAAC